UGGGGCAUUCUGGCUUUGUCUUAGGUAGA
RNAcentral lists this non-coding RNA (29 nucleotides) under Rattus norvegicus (Norway rat). The record is from RNAcentral. Lineage: Eukaryota; Metazoa; Chordata; Mammalia; Rodentia; Muridae.